Molecule: non-coding RNA, 70 nt
Organism: Zea mays
Lineage: Eukaryota; Viridiplantae; Streptophyta; Magnoliopsida; Poales; Poaceae
Source: the annotation of a RefSeq genome assembly
UCUGGUAGCUCAGCUGGUUAGAGCAAAGGACUUAAAAAAUCCUUCAGUGGUUCGAAUCCACAUCUGAGCG